AUGGCCAUGAACACGAGCAAGGCGGCGCCGUCGGACAAGGACCUGCAGAACAUCGACGACUGGCUGCCCAUCACCUCCUCCCGGAACGCCAAGUGGUGGUACUCGGCCUUCCACAAUGUCACCGCCAUGGUCGGCGCCGGCGUCCUCAGCCUGCCCUACGCCAUGUCCGAGCUCGGUUGGGGUCCUGGCGUGGCGGCGAUGAUCCUGUCGUGGGCGAUCACCCUGUACACGCUGUGGCAGAUGGUGGAGAUGCACGAGUGCGUGCCCGGCAAGCGCUUCGACCGCUACCACGAGCUGGGCCAGCACGCCUUUGGCCAGAAGCUGGGCCUCUGGAUCGUCGUUCCGCAGCAGCUCGUCGUCGAGGUGGGCGUCUGCAUCGUCUACAUGGUCACCGGCGGCAAGUCGCUCAAGAAGGUCCACGACCUGCUCCGCCCGGAGCACAGCCACCCGAUCCGGACCAGCUACUUCAUCUGCAUCUUCGGCUCCGCCCACUUCCUCCUCUCCCAGCUGCCCAACUUCAACUCCAUCACCGGCGUCUCCCUCGCCGCCGCCGUCAUGUCGCUCAGCUACUCCACCAUCGCCUGGGCGGCCUCGCUGCACAAAGCCGGCAAGGCCGGGCCCGGCCACGUGGUCGACUACAGCAUGACGGCCUCCACCACCCCCGGCAGGACCUUCAACUUCCUUAGCGCGCUCGGGGACGUGGCGUUCGCGUACGCCGGCCACAACGUGGUGCUGGAGAUCCAGGCCACCAUCCCAUCCACCCCCGAGAAGCCGUCCAAGAAGCCCAUGUGGCGGGGCGUCGUCCUGGCCUACCUCGUCGUCGCCAUCUGCUACCUCCCCGUCGCCUUCCUCGGCUACUACGUCUUCGGCAACGCCGUAGACGACAACAUCCUCAUCACCCUAGAGAAGCCCCGCUGGCUCAUCGCCGCCGCCAACAUGUUCGUCGUCAUCCACGUCAUCGGCAGCUACCAGAUCUAUGCGAUGCCGGUCUUCGACAUGCUCGAGACCUUCCUGGUGAAGAAGCUGAGGUUUAAGCCCGGCUGGCCUCUUCGUCUCAUCGCACGAUCUCUCUACGUUGCAUUCACCAUGCUCGUCGGCAUCGCCAUCCCCUUCUUCGGUGGGCUACUAGGGUUCUUUGGUGGUUUUGCAUUUGCCCCAACAACCUACUUCCUUCCCUGCAUUAUGUGGCUUGCAAUCAAGAAGCCGUCGAGGUUUAGCAUGUCGUGGUGCAUCAACUGGAUAUGCAUAAUCAUCGGCAUGCUUCUGUCGGUGUUGGCACCCAUCGGAGGCCUCCGUUCCAUUAUCAUCAACUACAAGACCUACCAAUUCUUCUCAUGA
RNAcentral lists this ribosomal RNA (1338 nucleotides) under Triticum aestivum (bread wheat). Its description in RNAcentral is "partial small subunit ribosomal RNA". Lineage: Eukaryota; Viridiplantae; Streptophyta; Magnoliopsida; Poales; Poaceae. The record is from RNAcentral.